This 251-nucleotide unclassified non-coding RNA is filed under the name uncultured fungus. Its description in RNAcentral is "sequence contains ITS2". Lineage: Eukaryota; Fungi. The record is from RNAcentral.
AACGCACAUUGCGCCCGCCAGCACUCUGGCGGGCAUGCCUGUCCGAGCGUCAUUUCAACCCUCGAGCACCGCUCGGCGUUGGGGGAGCGGCCGCGCGCCGCCCCCCGAAAUGCAGUGGCGACACCGCCGCGUCCUCCCCUGCGCAGUAGCUCCACAGAGAAACCUCGCACCGGCGGCGCGGCGGCGGUCACGCCGUGAAACGUCCACCUAGAGUUGACCUCGGAUCAGGUAGGGAUACCCGCUGAACUUAA